This 169-nucleotide ribosomal RNA is filed under the name Croton pachypodus. RNAcentral's name for it is "5.8S ribosomal RNA". It matches the Rfam family "5.8S ribosomal RNA". From Rfam's summary of the family: 5.8S ribosomal RNA (5.8S rRNA) is a component of the large subunit of the eukaryotic ribosome. Lineage: Eukaryota; Viridiplantae; Streptophyta; Magnoliopsida; Malpighiales; Euphorbiaceae. The record is from RNAcentral.
GGAAUGACUCUCGGCAACGGAUAUCUCGGCUCUCGCAUCGAUGAAGAACGCAGCGAAAUGCGAUACUUGGUGUGAAUUGCAGAAUCCCGCGAACCAUCGAGUCUUUGAACGCAAGUUGCGCCCAAGGCCUUUCGGCCGAGGGCACGUCUGCCUGGGUGUCACGCAACAU